AGGUGGUGGAGUAAUAACAGAGAGAAGGAACCAGGAGAUUAAUUUUAGCUGCUAAUGAGCUGAGCUUUUGUGAAGCAGCAAUAUAAACCACACAUGCCUCUGCAGCCCCAGUAGCCAGAGGCACCCGGCUUUUCAGCUUCAGAAAAUCCAGCCAAGGCCCAACCGGAAUGGAGGGGGAGGGCCAAGAAUAUGUGUGAGACUUUGAUGCGUUGGAAGUAACUGACAAGAAACCGUAAUGUAGGAAAUCGGAACAGCUGGGAGCACCUCAAACGCAGCAGAUGGGAUUUACAGCUGGAAUAGCUGAUAUCUCCAUUCAUUCCUGAACAUCUCAACUCAAGACAACUAUCAAGAGAGAAAGGAGGACUGUUUGCUUUGUGGACAUCAGGCUGCUGGGAAUGGGGCUGAUUCCUAAUAAAUGUAACCCAAAGCUACAAAGUUGGGAGAUGAUAGCAGGGCCACGAUGAUGCAUGUGUGUGCCCUAGGCAAGGCUAGCAAUGAGACUGGGAACAGAUGGAGGACAAAAUCUGGAAGGGGAACAUUUAAAAUACUGAAGUUUAAAAUCCCCAAAUUUGGAUUUGUCAGCAUAAACCAGCUGGGGACCUGAGCUUUAUGUUGAAUUGAGAGUAAAGUGCAUUAAAGGGGUAAAAAGAAUAUCAUUCUAUUUUUCUUUAUUUCUAUUGCAUCAUGUCUUCUCCAGCAUAUUGACCUCUCCAUCAUCCCCACUCACUCACUAAUCUACAUACAGUCUCUCCUAGUCUACUGUCUGCUUCCCUGCUGCCUACAAACAUGCCCAUGUCUCUACUAUUCUCAAAAGAUUUCACUUGAUCCAUUUUUCUAUGCUGCCUGUCUUCCUAAUUCCCCUGCUUUUUGUGGCUAGGAUUCUUGAUAAGGCUGCCUAUGAUCAGUGUCUCCACUUCAUUUUCUG
This 925-nucleotide long non-coding RNA is filed under the name Phascolarctos cinereus (koala). RNAcentral describes it as "lncRNA (ENSPCIG00000031176.1)". The record is from RNAcentral. Lineage: Eukaryota; Metazoa; Chordata; Mammalia; Diprotodontia; Phascolarctidae.